This is a non-coding RNA of Coturnix japonica (Japanese quail), 2314 nucleotides long. The record is from RefSeq and is a predicted model, not a curated record. Lineage: Eukaryota; Metazoa; Chordata; Aves; Galliformes; Phasianidae.
CAGGAGCAGAAUUACUUCCCUAGCCCUGUUCACCACAGCAUUCCUGACACAGGCUAGGAUGCCAUUCUUGGCCACCUGGGUACACUGCUGGCUCAUAUUUAGCUGACUGUCCAUCAGCACACUGAAUGAAUGAGAAUGCUGAUAAUACAUCGAUAUUUCAGUUAUUGCUGAGCAACUCUUACAGGGAAUUGAAGACUUUUAUGCUGCUGAAGACUUCUAAUGCUGCCUUUCCAGUAGGUAGGUACAAAAAGCUAGGAGGAGGCAGCAAAGCUAAAAUGGCCAAAGAGAAAGUCUGUAUGAUGUGAUAUCAGGCCAAGUAAUGAAAGCUGCGAUAAGAAAGAACAUUUGGAAUCUCACCUCCAUAUUUUUAUUAAUUAAUUAAUUCAUUUUAUGUUUCUGCACAGAUGUGUUCACUGUAGGUCUAUUCAAAAACCUGUAACAAAAUCCUUCAGUAGAAAAAAUAUUCAGCUGCUUGCCUAUUUCAAAGAGCAUGACAACCCAAAACUAGUCACUGCAUGAACCUGCUGAAUGUGGAACAUUUCCACCUGCCAUUGAGCUUCUGUCUGCUCAGAUGCACGGGCAGAUCAGUUAAACCUUGUCUUUUGCUGAUAAGGACUUCUCAAAUAGAAUUCAGUCUGAUUAAAACAGUUUGUGUAUUUGUUUCAUUAAUAUGCAUAAAAGCAUUGUCUUCCUCAGCUGUAUCUAGAUUAAAUAAUAAUAAUAAUUUUAAAAUCCUAUAAGGAUUAUGUCCUCUCUUCAGUGAUGUAGUAGGGUGUAUCAUAGACUUUUAUUGAAUUCAUCUUCAUCAAAAUGUACUAAACAUAGAGACAAGCAAUUUUAAAUUAAAUAAAAAACACCUUAGGUUAAAUAUACCGUUAGCGUAAUGCUCUACAUCCCUUACACUGCCGAAAUACUAACCAUGAAUAGAGACAGGGAUAGAAGACAUUAGAAGAAGCAAACAGUUAAUUUUAUUUUCAUUCUGCAUUCCUACAACCUUUUCAAAUUAUUCUCAUUUUGUUUUUCUCUUGGUCAUCAUACAGUGAUAUAUAAAACAUUAUGGUUGAGGUUGUUUGCUCCAGGAAGAAAAGACACCAACCACUGAAAAAAGAACAAAGCAAUUCAGCAUCAAUGUUUAGUGUUACUGGCUGUGUCAUUAAUGUUGCAAAGUAAUGUUGCAAAGUACAUUCUGUUGAACAUGCCCUAUUUUGUGAGACAUCAGAUAUUACCUUGGAUAUAAAAUCUAUCCCCUCCGGCGAUUUCUGACUGCUUUCAUUUUUAAUUGUGAUAGUCAGCUUUAUAGAGGUGUCGUGACAUUUAACAAAGCCAGUUAUAAAACCUGUUUGUUUGUUCUCUGUUGUGUGUGGCUGGAAAGAAAUGAGUGCGCUGACAGGCCUUAAUUGCUCUGAUCAGUCUUACCCAAAACACUCACACUUUGCUCAUGAGCACAAAUUGACAGAUAAAGUAAGACUCAAGAUACCAGCCUAGGUUACAAUUUAAGUAAGCUGGUAUCCAGACCUAUUGAGUGGAUUCAAAUAUUUUUAUUGGUUAUGUACCUAUAUGUACCUAUAUGUGAAAAAAUAUAUGUUUGUACAGAUAGCUAAUUAAAUUAGUACAUUAAGAUUUUUCAGCAACAUUUGCUAUCCAUCGGUUGUUUUUAUUUUGAAAUUCUUCCUUUCCCCACAAUGAAUAAGUCAGCAAUAAAAAUCCUUAAAGUGUAAGUUCUUAUGGCAAAUAAAUCUUUGAAGAUAUGUGAUGCAGACUUCAAAGCAAAAGAAAACCUCACAUUUUUGAAAUAGCCAAGUGUUUGCUAUGGAUUGAAAAUAACCAAAAUCUAUAGCAAAGUUAAUAUAAAAUUAAUUAAAUAAUCAAUUUCUAAUUGAAAUGAACAAGUCAUUAAUCAGUAUCAUUGAAAAAUCUAAUUAUUCUUUAUUUUCAAGAGUGAACAAUCUGGUAUUUUUUUGCACAUUUUUCCUUUCUUUCAAGCUUUUGUUUUCAAGACAAAAUAAGAGGUAUCUCUAAAUCAUCUUUGCAAGACAUCGACUAGGCUGUCUCAUGGAAACAAAAUUUCUGCAUUGUAAAGUUCAUAUCAUAGUAAUUCGUGAAGAAUUUGAAAAUUUGUGUUUCUGACUGAUGAAUCACAAGACUUGUGCUACAAACAUUGUGAGCUCUGGCUAAUGGUGUGGACAAAGAAGUGCCAGAGCCAUAUUGAAGAACAAAGGAGAUCUGAGUAGGAGCUUUCUGGCAGAACAGAAGAUGUCUUUUUCAGAGCAUGGGAUCAAUUUUUUGGCUCAUGUAACCCCAUUCUGGAUCUCAU